CUCCAAUGUUUUUGUCGGCUGUUCUUGAAGACUGCUGGGUCUCUACAAUCACAUUCUUUGGCUGGUGCCAGUGUUUAAGCACUCUGAAACUGCAUAGCAGCAUGUUUGAAGGCCGCCUGUCAAAUUUGGGAAGCUGACAUGUGACUGAGCUAGUCACGGGGUUCUUCACACAAAAGGCAGUCUGGAUCCUGGUCGACUGGAGAUUCCAUCUGAAUGUGGAUGGAUUUAAAAGGUGACUGGAACACUUCUUCCUGACCUCAGAGAUGUGAUGGAUGUCUGGGAAGAUUUUCUCAAGGGCUAGAAGUUAAGAACUUUGUUCCUACUGUUUAUCUUUUUCCCUUUCGUAUUCAAGCCACUUAACCAUACUGAGCCUCAACGUUUUCAUUUAUAAAAUGGAAAUCAGUCUAACUUUUCUCUGGAGGACAGCUGUUGCCUGCCUAUCACUAUUUCCUCCUUUUCUGGUGACAACAUCCUCCUUUUCUUCAAAGAAUAAUGCCUACCCCAUUAUAAUGACUUUUACAUGGGGCUGUCCCAACACGUGUUGCCUUCAAGGCUAGGUGCAUGACACAGGCCUGGCCAAUCCGUGUGUCCAAUCCCUCUGGCCACUGUGAUUGGUCCAGUUAUGGGUAUAUGAUGCAGAUCAAUCCAGUAAAACUCAGCCUCGUGACUUUUACUGGAACCAUCAGUCAAGACACCUUCUUUUUCUGUGGCGUUUCCAGGUUAGGAGAAGGAAGGUUAGAGCCCUGGGAUGCCACCUCAUGUGAAAAGCCUACCAGAGAGCAAAACUAGCACAAAGGAAGGAAAGUAUUCCAAUAAAAGGGUGACACGGAAAACUGAAAUGUGAAUUUGUUAAAUCCUCAAAUAGCCAACAGCUUCUAGGACAAGAUCAUACAGUUAGGACCUCGAUAACAAUUCGACUGUGGAAUUGUCGAAUUAGGACCUCGAUAACAAUUCGACUGUGGAAAUAUAAGAACAUUUUAGAUACUGUGUUGCUCAACUCUGAAACGCUGCUCUGUGUUGUGAAUAUUGGUUUAUUUUCUUUGUAGAGUGGCGUCAUUAAGACUAGAACUCCAGGCUUCCUCAUUCAACUCCAAGGGUUCCCAGCAACAUGUGAAGUCCUCUGUCACUAAGAAGCUAUGAUGGUUGUAAGAAUCUGAGACAGUGAGAGGGAAAAGAUUGUUUUCCAUUCAUUAGUUUGGGUUGAGCAUUGGAGGCAUCUCCUCACCUGCUAAACCAGCACUGCAAUAGAUGGAUGACUCACUUCUCAUAGGAAUGAUAGAACUUGGAUCAUCUUGUCAAUCACAGAGCGUGGUGGCCUUCUGCAAAUGUUUGUGGAAUGAAUAAGUGAGAGAAUGAGAGAUUAAUAAAGCCAAUACUAAUACCAGUCCAACGAAGAGCUGCAACUGAAAGAAAUCUGACAAAUAGGCCAUCCAUCCUUCCCCAGAGAGCAUUACUGAGCAUUCAGUGUCGACGUAGCAUAUUCAGUAGCAGUUUAUCCCAGACACACAUCCAUGGAGAGGAGGGAGCUACACGCUUUCCUGAUCAUCUGGUUUCAUAUGAAGACAAAGGUUAAAGUAGGACAGAUGAGUGAUACUCUACCAAAGAUUGUGAGUACAGCAUUCUUAACAUUCCCAUUCUUCUACUAAGACCAGGCAAAGGCAGGUGAGUUUGCUGAUUUGUACUGAUUGAUCAGAAUGCAUGUUCUUGGCCGUAUAUGUAUGAUACACUAUUGAAAUAACUGGAGAAAUCCUCAUCCUACCAAGCAUGUAUUCAUAGAAAAAUGAGAUGACUGUUAGCUUAAAUUCUGCUUUCUCAGGGAGGUCUUGAUUGACUAAAUGCUCGAAUUUUAAAUUAGCUCUUCCUGUUUUUCCCUCUUU
Long non-coding RNA from Cercocebus atys (sooty mangabey), 1877 nucleotides. RefSeq lists it as uncharacterized. The record is from RefSeq and is a predicted model, not a curated record. The transcript has 7 exons. Lineage: Eukaryota; Metazoa; Chordata; Mammalia; Primates; Cercopithecidae.